UACGUAGGGUGCAAGCGUUAAUCGGAACUACUGGGCGUAAAGCGUGCGCAGGCGGUUUUGUAAGUCUGUCGUGAAAUCCCCGGGCUCAACCUGGGAAUUGCGAUGGAGACUGCAAGGCUAGAAUCUGGCAGAGGGGGGUAGAAUUCCACGUGUAGCAGUGAAAUGCGUAGAGAUGUGGAGGAACACCGAUGGCGAAGGCAGCCCCCUGGGUCAAGAUUGACGCUCAUGCACGAAAGCGUGGGGAGCAAACAGG
Molecule: ribosomal RNA, 253 nt
Filed under: uncultured bacterium
Lineage: Bacteria
Description: partial 16S ribosomal RNA
Rfam family: Bacterial small subunit ribosomal RNA
Source: RNAcentral